UGAUGUGAGGGCAAUCUGGCUGUGGCAUCUUUCACCCCAUUGAUCACCAAGGUGGAUUCGGCUUACCUGACUGGCUAGAUGGGUGUCCCCUUCCUCCCUCACCAUUCCAUGUGCGUCCUUCCCGAAGCUGCAUGCUCAGUCGAAGGGGAUGACCAUCCCCGACAGAGGAGGACCGGUCUUCAGUCAAGGGCAUACGAGUAGCUGCACUCCCCUGCUCGAACCUCCAAAUAAGCUAUCUAUCUAUCUAUCUAUCUAUCUAUCUAUCUAUCUAUCUAUCUAUCUAU
Molecule: small RNA, 284 nt
Filed under: Colobus angolensis palliatus
Lineage: Eukaryota; Metazoa; Chordata; Mammalia; Primates; Cercopithecidae
Description: 7SK RNA (ENSCANG00000011984.1)
Rfam family: 7SK RNA
About the family: 7SK was discovered as an abundant small nuclear RNA in the mid-70s but a possible function has only recently been suggested. Two independent studies have found that 7SK RNA binds the CDK9/cyclin T complex (known as elongation factor P-TEFb). P-TEFb activates transcription by phosphorylating the C-terminal domain of RNA polymerase II.
Source: RNAcentral